Molecule: long non-coding RNA, 566 nt
Organism: Peromyscus eremicus (cactus mouse)
Lineage: Eukaryota; Metazoa; Chordata; Mammalia; Rodentia; Cricetidae
Exons: 5
Source: RefSeq, a predicted model, not a curated record
UAUGGAUACCACCCUAGAGAAUAAGGAGUCUGGAUGUAAAGUGUCCUUGUAUGAGGAAGGUUAGAGGUUCCCAGUUUGCCUCCCUAUCACAUGCAGGUGAAACACUGAGUACCACUGAGGAACUUGACCCAAUAUUGUAUACAGUGGGGCCAGCCCCCAGUGAAGUGCAAUAUGCUCCAUUUUGUCACAGUUUAAGAUAUAACACUGCAUGGAUCCAGACAAGUCAGAUGAGGCUUUCUACUGAUUGGAAUGGAUUCCUAUUCCAGACUCCAGACUUAAUUAGGUGACAUCCUGAACUGUUCUAUACAUUGGGCAUUUGCAGAGAGAUUCAUGAAACAAUUUCAAGUUCUUCACCCUAAUUUUUAGGAGGGACACAAGCCUCUGUUUUCUACUUCCUUCCCAAUGUGUAUGUUUUAAAAAGACAGAAGCACCCUGGGAAGAGGUUGCCAUGGAGAAUCCGUUCCAGGUUCAAGAGGUAAGCUCUCAGCUGCCAUCUCCAGCCCCUAUGCCAUCAUGUACACUUUUCCCUCUGGACUGUAAUUCCACAUAAACUCUUUAUUCUAUAA